Molecule: small RNA, 379 nt
Filed under: Vigna angularis var. angularis
Lineage: Eukaryota; Viridiplantae; Streptophyta; Magnoliopsida; Fabales; Fabaceae
Description: Non-protein coding transcript
Source: RNAcentral
CCAUAAUGAAAUGGUUGGUGGAUUUAAUUUCACCCUCUGAACGUGCAUGAGUUACCACUGACAGAUCACACUGUACUGCUUACUGUUCACAAAAGUACGGUUUAGACAUGUCACCUGUUGAAUUCGACGACAAACAACUGCAGAAUCAAUCUUAUUAGAGAACCUACCUUCACACUCCAAAAAUGAUGGGAAAGGGAGACAACGGUGCAGGUAAAGGGGUUGAAUGCAGUAGGUAUGGCGCCAUUAAUUAGAUGUUACUUUAGCAGCACAAUGUUGUUGUCAUUAUUGGGAAGGUCUUAAAACAUCCUUGAAAAAGGAAAUUUAAGAUGAAGUUAAUAAUUAGCAGCAGAAAGAGUUUUAGUUUGUGGGACAUUAUGGA